GGAUCAAUCUAUCGGUCGUGCAAUAGUACGUACUGAUUUUAUUGAUUCCUACCUUCUGAUGAACUAUGAUGUCAUUAAUUUGGUGUCAUAGGGAAUCAGGACUGUUACUUUGAAAAAAUUAGAGUGUUUAAAGCAAGUGAAUAACAGCCUGAAUACAUUAGCAUGGAAUAAUAGAAUAGG
RNAcentral lists this ribosomal RNA (180 nucleotides) under uncultured Glomeromycotina. Its description in RNAcentral is "partial small subunit ribosomal RNA". Lineage: Eukaryota; Fungi; Glomeromycota. The record is from RNAcentral.